This 423-nucleotide ribosomal RNA is filed under the name uncultured bacterium. RNAcentral's name for it is "partial 16S ribosomal RNA". It matches the Rfam family "Bacterial small subunit ribosomal RNA", at positions 361 to 776 of the family's 1533-position model. The record is from RNAcentral.
AUUUUGGACAUUGGGGGAAACCCUGAUCCAGCAAUGCCGCGUGCAGGAUGAAGGUCUUCGGGUUGUAAACUGCUUUUGUACGGAACGAAAAGUCUUGGGCGAAUACCCUGGGAACAUGACGGUACCGUAAUGAUAUGCACCGGCUAACGACGUCCCAGCAACCGCUGUAAUACGUAGGGUUCAAGCGUUAAUCGGAAUUACUGGGCGUAAAGCGUGCGCAGGCGGUUUUGUAAGACAGUGGUGAAAUCCCCGGGCUCAACCUGGGAACUGCCAUUGUGACUACAAGGCUGGAGUGCGGCAGAGGGGGAUGGAAUUCCGCGUGUAGCAGUGAAAUGCGUAGAUAUGCGGAGGAACACCGAUGGCGAAGGCAAUCCCCUGGGCCUGCACUGACGCUCAUGCACGAAAGCGUGGGGAGCAAACAGG